This 1000-nucleotide long non-coding RNA is filed under the name Phoenix dactylifera (date palm). Its description in RNAcentral is "long non-coding RNA (PDAC_LNC006130)". The record is from RNAcentral. Lineage: Eukaryota; Viridiplantae; Streptophyta; Magnoliopsida; Arecales; Arecaceae.
CUUUGGCACAUGCAUAGAUCCUUUAACUAUCAUGUGUUAGAUGGAUUUUGAUUGCAGGAUUUUUGAUGAACAGAUCUGUAGUUGCAACAUUUUGGCAUGAUGGAACCUUGAUGAGGAUGAUUCAAGAACAAAGGAAGUCUUUCGCAAGGUAGGAAGGACCAUGGGCUUCAUGAGUCGAAGUGACUUCUUGUGAAACAAAGACUCCUAGUAGGGAGAAAUAAGGGCUGGCACAAAUUGAUUCAGUAUCAUAAGGACAAUAUUUUAGCAUGCAUGAAUUGCAAAAUUACAACAAUUUUAUUUGUAUUACAGAAAACUAGAGGUAUGGCCUACUGCAACUGGACUAGCUGAAAGUGCAGGAUUUUAUCCUAAUGAAUGCAAUUUGAACAUAAGGAGAAAAACAAGAAUUAGUAAAAUAAUUUUAUCACUUGUUUAUCUUAUCAUAUAUCUUUUCAUCACAUGUUCUAACAAGUUUUUUAAUGAAACAAUAUUUUCAAGAAUAGUGUUAUGGCAACAAGGAACUCUCAAACACAAGAAAAAGGUUACAAAGCAACUCUGCAGCUCUCCCUCUCCCUGCCAAGCGAUAGGAAAGUUCAAUAUCUUCUCCGAAACUCUAAAAUUACAAGCACAAUAUACCCAUCUCCUUGAACUGAUACAUGGUCUUGCGCCCUGCAUUGUGGACCUUAAGCUCCCCAUUCAAUUCAUUGGAUGGUAUAAAGGCAUGGAAUAACAUGACCAGGGAAGAAUAAAACUUCCUCCUUAUGAAAAUAUCACAUCUUGACAACUUUGUUGUAGUUUUCUUGUAGAACAAAAUUUGCAUCGACAAGUGAUAAAAGACAAAUGGUUCCAAAUUUUGAUUAUCAUUUUGAUACAAAAAAUGAACACUCUUUAUGAAUUCUCCUAAUCCUAAUCCACAACUAAUAUGUAAAAGUCUAAGAGCAAAGUUAUAGCCAAAGAUCAUUGGCAAUAGUAAUAGGAGUCAAAAGAAAGUUCCACCAAAAUC